RNAcentral lists this ribosomal RNA (792 nucleotides) under uncultured marine bacterium. RNAcentral describes it as "bacterial SSU rRNA". It matches the Rfam family "Bacterial small subunit ribosomal RNA", at positions 86 to 915 of the family's 1533-position model. The record is from RNAcentral.
CAAUACUUAGUGGCAGACGGGUGAGUAACAUGUAGGUAUCUGCCCUUUGGCCUGGAAUAACACGAGGAAACUUGUGCUAAUACCGGAUAAGUCUUUACGGAGAAAGCUUUAUGCACCAUUGGAUGAGCCUGCACUUGAUUAGUUUGUUGGUGGGGUAAUGGCCUACCAAGACUGUGAUCAAUAGCUGAUUUGAGAGGAUGAUCAGCCACAUUGGGACUGAGACACGGCCCAAACUCCUACGGGAGGCAGCAGUGGGGAAUCUUGCACAAUGGAGGAAACUCUGAUGCAGCGAUGCCGCGUGAGUGAAGAAGGCCCUUGGGUUGUAAAGCUCUUUCGUCGGGGAAGAAAAUGACUGUACCCGAAUAAGAAGGUCCGGCUAACUUCGUGCCAGCAGCCGCGGUAAUACGAAGGGACCUAGCGUAGUUCGGAAUUACUGGGCUUAAAGAGUUCGUAGGUGGCUGAAAAAGUUAGUGGUGAAAUCCCAGAGCUUAACUCUGGAACUGCCAUUAAAACUUUUCAGCUAGAGUAUGAUAGAGGAAAGCAGAAUUUCUAGUGUAGAGGUGAAAUUCGUAGAUAUUAGAAAGAAUACCAAUUGCGAAGGCAGCUUUCUGGAUCAUUACUGACACUGAGGAACGAAAGCAUGGGUAGCGAAGAGGAUUAGAUACCCUCGUAGUCCAUGCCGUAAACGAUGUGUGUUAGACGUUGGAAAUUUAUUUUCAGUGUCGCAGGGAAACCGAUAAACACACCGCCUGGGGAGUACGACCGCAAGGUUAAAACUCAAAUGAAUUGACG